CCAGAAUCCCCAGGGGACUGCUGGGGAGUCACCGAGGACUGGCAUCCGCUGACUGGCUCACCUCUCUGGUCCUGCAGAGGAAGAGUGGCUGGGAGCUGCAGCGGGGCCGUUGUCUCUGGGCCCCCUGGCCCUGGAGCAGGAGAGCCCUGUCUGGCAGGCUUGUAAUGGUAGUUGGGAGCACAGGCUCUGAGGCCUCAGGUUUGAAGCCAGGCUCUGCUUCCAGCGGUGUGACUUCAGGCAAGUGACAUGACCACUCUGUGCCUCAGCUGCCCAGGGGAGAUAAUAAUACUGGCCUCGCAGGGUGGUGGGGAUCAAGUGAGAUGCGAGGUCAUGGGUGUGAAGUAGCCUGUGUGCUGGAUGCAGUAAGCAUUCUAUGAAUGGCCAAGGUGGCUGUUUAGGGCGCAUGGCUCAAUGGUAGCUGAGCCCAGGCCUCUCAGUACUGUUCAAACAUAGCAGAAAGGACUAGAGACCCCAAGGUAGAGGGACUUCCAUUUCUUUUUUUUUUUUUGUCUUUUUGGGUCCGCACCUGUGACACAUGGAAGCGCCCAGGCUAGAGGUGGAAUCAGAGUUGCAGCCACUGGCCUACACCACAGCCACAGCAAUGCAGGAUCUGAGCUGCAUCUGUGACCUACACCACAGCUCACGGCAACGCCAGAUCCUUAACCUACUGAGCGAGGCCAGGGGUUGAACCUAUCCUCACAGAGACAACGUUGGGUCCUUAACCCCUUGAGCCACCACAGGAACUCGGACUUUGAUACCUUGAAGGUGAAAAACUUUGAUCUUGCUUAAGGCAACGUGCUCCUGGUAAGGAGUUUCUGCCCCUUCAAAGAGCUUUAGUCUCAGGGCCGUAGAUGGAACUUGGGCCCCAUGUCCCCUUCCCUCAGCCGCUGCAGUUGACAGUGUGGCUAGAGGGGACAGUCCCAUAUAUGCUGCCUGGGCUCCCCCUUGGGGCACCUCGGUGCCUCUCUGCACUUCCACGCCAGAACUUUCUCUGAAACCUGGCAUACGGUCUCUUAGCGUUGGUCUUGCCAUUAGCUAUGGCUGCAUAACCAGCCCCCCUAAAACUUAGAGGCCAAUCAUUUCUUUGCUUGUGAUUCUGGGAUUUGGGGGUGGUGGUAUGGUUGGUUCUUCAUGUGGCCUCUGCUGGGCUAGAGUGUCCUAGAAGACUCCUGGGUUGGGCCGAUGCCCUCCACAGCGUAGGGCUCUAGGGACUCAGACUUCCCACCUUGCAGCUGGCUUCCCCAAGAGUGCCAAAGGGGAGGCUGCUAAGCCUCUUAACACGUGGGUUUAGAAAUCACAGAAGGUCACUUCCAGGGUAUUCUAGGGAUCUAGACGGACCCAGGGCCAGCCCACGUGCAAGGGAACAGACCUCACCUCUUGCCUGGGGAGUGGCAAGGUCCCUUGGCUGAGGAGAGGGUGGGAUGGUAGCCGUCUGUGUGGAGCAGGGUCUGCCACGUCCAGCCAGUGUGGGAGGGAAUCGGGGGUUAUGUCCGUGGGGGCGUCCUUGACCCGCAAGGCAGGAACUGGUGGAUAAAUGCAGGUCUCAUGGCCUCAGAGGGACACGUCAGAGGUGUAUUCAACAGGCUCUCCCGGGGGUCCCACAGGAACGAGCCCCCACUGCCCUCGGUGGGAUUAGCUCAGCAAUGCGCCUUUCUUUGCCUCGUGCUCUUUCUCCAUCUUCCCCCCCCCCCCCCCCCCCCGCUUUCUGCUGCUUCCUCCCACCAGCUCUCAGUUCUUGUCUUAGGCAUCGCUCUCCUGGGAAACCAAACCUAAACACUCAGUUUCCUCAUUAGAAAAAAAAAAACCUCCUUAAAUCUGGCUAUAAAAUAUUGCACCUGGCUCCUGGGCUGUUGAGUAAUCCCACAGGAAUGGAUGUGAAAGGGCUUUGUAAACGUGGGUGGCCCAGAACCGAGGCGAGGGGUCACUGUGAGCAGAGGUAGCACGGGUCGGGAAGGGGGUGGCUGGCCAGCGCCCCCCAGCACCCCUCCUCCUCCGUCCUCAGGGGCUGGUGACCAGAAGGGACACUGCUGCCUUGGAGAUGAUGAGAGGUGAGGACAGGGAGGUGGGGGGCAAGGGGCUUCCCGGAGUGUGGAGGAAUAAGGAGAACCAUGCCCCCUACCUGCCUACGGAUUCAGGUGACCUGGCACAAUUAGGUGACUCACCAGGCCAGUGCAACCUGUGACAAGGGCCCUCGAGAGCAUCCAUCCAGCCUCGCAGGGACUUGCCCUCGAGGAAGAAGCCUUGCCUCCUGAGUUGGCCUCUGUCCGGGGAAGACAGGGACCAAAUGACAUAGGGAUGGCCCGGGAUUCUGGGUCGCUUCCUCUCCAUUCCAAACAGAGAAGCCAAUCCCUUUUCCAUGCUGGCCCCGCGGUCGGGACCCAAGGUGAACGAGACACUCCCUGCUCUCUCAGAGGCCAAAGACCAGGAGGCAGGCCACGUGAACAGCAUCGAAGCAGCCGGGUUGCUGGGGGCAGGGGGCUCUGGACUCAGAGCAGGGGCCUCUGACUCCGGAAUCUGGGAGGGGGCUAGUAACUGUGGAUGUCUUCCUGUAGAAGCUGAUGUCCACCUUUGCCGCCCUUGCCAGGAGAGGGGACCGGUAUCCCAGACGGAGGAAGUAGCAUGAGCAAAGGCAGGGCAGCCCACGCUCUGGGAGACCUCACUCUGUCUGGAGCCUAGAAAGGCAGAGGGGUGGCAGAUGGGGCUGGAGGGAGAGGCGCGGCGGGAAGAGUAACGGGAGCCCCACAGGAGUUUAAAGCAGUGGCUCAGGGGUUCCUGUUGGGCUCAUUGGGUGAAGAACCCGACAGAGUGUCCAUGAGGAGGCAGGUUCAAUUCCUGGCCUCACUCAGUGGGUUAAAGAUCCAGUGUUACUGCAGCUGUGGUGUAGGUUGCAGAUGUGGCUCAGAUCUGGCAUUGCUGUGGCUAUGGCCUAGGCCUGCAGCUGCAGCUCUGAUUCGACCCCUAGCCUGGGAACCUCCAUAUGCUGUGGGUGCAGCUGUAAAAAGAAAGAAAAAUAAAUAAAGAAGGGGCUCAGGCUUGAGGUUGGGCUCCACCCUCCUGGUUGCAGUGAUCACCACUGGAGACCAGCUAAGGGGGUUCAUUCAUUCAUUCAUUCAACAAACAAGGGCUCCGUGGUGCCCUCCAGGCAUCAGCCCUUGUGCUGCAGGGGGCGUCCAGGUGAGGGGCUGCAGUGGCUUGGAUGGUGGCCAGGAUGGAGAGAAGAGGCCAAGAUUCGGGGAGGCGCUCUCACUGCAUUUACCCAAACACAUCUUGGCAAUUCUCAAAUGGGCCUUUGGUUCCUGGACCAGUUGUGUAUGCAUUUGGAAAUUGGGGAUUUGCUAUUUCAGGGGUGGAUGCAGAUGAGCAAGGCUGAACCCAAGCGUCAGGCAAGUCCCCCACCCCCAGGGAGGCAGCCAUUCCCAGAGAUGCCGCCCAGAGCAGCACAGUCCAGGCUCCCUCCUUCCUCUCCCUGCCUCUGCUGCCCCAGGCUCCAGAAAGCUCCCGUGCAAUCACCCCGAAGAUACCCUUUCCAGGAAGGGGCUGAGACCCAAACAUCCCGGUUUCUGUUCAUCGGUGCUGGCACAGAGCUGAGUGACUCCUCCAGGAUCACACAGGUCACACAGCCCCAAAUGGGACUGAGUUCGGGCCUGUUUCCUCUUUCUGUGCUCCUCUCCCCCUCGGACCGCCCGAAGGUCUCCUCCAUCUGAUGGUGGGUUUGCUAAGGAUGUCUCCUCCAUCAGAUUAGGAACGCUCUGGAGCAAACGCGAGUCAGGGAAGACUUUUUGCCACCAUUGAAUAGUGGUUGGCAUCUGUGAAGAAUCCUCUCUUUGCCUCAGUCUCCUCAUUUGUAAAGAGGGAUUAAUAACAAUAACACUACCCAUUGUGAGGGUUAAAAGACAUAAAAUAGAAGAGAUGAAAUUAAGAGGCUUGGGGGUACAGACGGAACAUAAAUACCAAGCACAGACCAUGCCAAAUAGCCAGAAAUAAGAGCAAAGGGGACCAAACUGUGGGUGCCGUGGGGGGGAUUUUGUCUAUUUUCCACGCUGUCAUUUUCCAAGUGCCAGGACAGAGCCUGGUCCACAGCAGGUGCUCAGUGAACGUUAGUUGAAGGGAAGAAUGACGAGUCUGGGUGGCGACGGCGGAGAGCAGCGCUCACGAUUGGGGUGGGAAGCCUUCUGGAGGUAGCAGGGCAGGCCCCGCAGCUGGGGGGCUGCUGGGAGUGGGCGUGUCUGCCUCGGAACCCAUGACACUGGGGGUUGAACAGCGCAUCCCCUGUAGGUCUCACUGACCAGGGUUGUGUACCUGGUGUCAGUGGGGAGACUUCCGGGCCAGGGUUUCCUCUAAACCCUCCUCCAUCUGCCGUCCACCUGCCGUCCACAGGCCGCACCCGGUACCCCGCCUCUGCUCUUGAGCCCUCAGGAAUCCCUCCUGGGCCCCACCCUCUGCUCCAGCUGCUCUCCUGCCUUGUUUCCUGACCUUUCCCUCCGAAAGCUAAUCUUAGCUCAGGUGGCCCAGGACCACACCUCCACCGUCUUCCGUGUUCUUAUCAUCUGAAUUGUUCUGCGAAGAAGUCAUACACCCCAAGCCUUGACUGCCUUCACCGCCAAGGUGGCCACACGCCCCCGGGCCACAGGGGGGGCUCCGAGCUGCUCUCAGAGGGCUUUGUGAGACAGCCAAGCAUGAAAUAAAGGUAGCAAAUAAAACCAUUCCCUCAGAGUUCCUGUCGCGGUUCAGCGGUUAGUGAAUCUGAUGGGCAUCCAUGAGAACUCAGGUUCGAUCCCUGGCCUCGCUCAGUGGGUUAAGGGUCCGGAGUUGCCGUGAGCUGUGGUGUAGGUCACAGACGUGGCUCAGAUCCCACGUUGCUGUGGCUCUGGUGUAGGCUGGUGGCUACAGCUCUGUUUAGACCCCUAGUUGGGAACCUCCAUAUGCC
RNAcentral lists this long non-coding RNA (4927 nucleotides) under Sus scrofa (pig). Its description in RNAcentral is "lncRNA (ENSSSCG00000057703.1)". Lineage: Eukaryota; Metazoa; Chordata; Mammalia; Artiodactyla; Suidae. The record is from RNAcentral.